This 83-nucleotide ribosomal RNA is filed under the name Lactobacillus sp. CL11. RNAcentral's name for it is "partial 16S ribosomal RNA". It matches the Rfam family "Bacterial small subunit ribosomal RNA", at positions 555 to 637 of the family's 1533-position model. Lineage: Bacteria; Bacillati; Bacillota; Bacilli; Lactobacillales; Lactobacillaceae. The record is from RNAcentral.
UGGGCGUAAAGCGAGCGCAGGCGGUUUUUUAAGUCUGAUGUGAAAGCCUUCGGCUCAACCNAAGAAGUGCAUCGGAAACUGGG